This 229-nucleotide ribosomal RNA is filed under the name uncultured bacterium. Its description in RNAcentral is "partial 16S ribosomal RNA". It matches the Rfam family "Bacterial small subunit ribosomal RNA", at positions 524 to 751 of the family's 1533-position model. The record is from RNAcentral.
UACAGAGGGGGCAAGCGUUAUUCGGAAUUAUUGGGCGUAAAGGGCGCGUAGGCGGCAUCGCAAGUGGAAGGUGAAAUCCCUCGGCUUAACCGAGGAACUGCCCUCCAAACUGCGUUGCUUGAGGCCGGGAGAGGUGAGUGGAAUUCCCAGUGUAGCGGUGAAAUGCGUAGAUAUUCGCAAGAACACCAGUGGCGAAGGCGGCUCACUGGCCCGGAACUGGACGCUGAGG